GGGGUCUUGGGCUGAAGCUGCAGUGUGUCUGUUGGCUGUACGCUGCAGCUGGCCUGAAUGGACCGAGACUAUAACAGGAGGCUAACGAGCCGUCCUGGCAGUUGCAGGUGUGAGCAUUCAUACAGCUGUCUGAUGCUCAUGUAUGAUACUGCACACAAAC
RNAcentral lists this small nucleolar RNA (160 nucleotides) under Labrus bergylta (ballan wrasse). RNAcentral's name for it is "Small Cajal body specific RNA 16 (ENSLBEG00000016988.1)". The record is from RNAcentral. Lineage: Eukaryota; Metazoa; Chordata; Actinopteri; Labriformes; Labridae.